CGUGCUGCUGAAGGCCGUGGGCGACACCCCCAUCAUGAGGACCAAGAAGUGGGCCGUGGAGCGCACCCGCACCAUCCAGGGGCUCGUCGACUUCAUCAAGAAGUUCCUCAAGCUGAUGGCCUCCGAGCAGCUGAUAUAAAAUAAAAGCUAGACUCAUUACAAUACUGAAAUCUGCAACUGAAGUAUCAGAUAAGUUUAUAUACGUAAACCAGUCUUUUGCUCCAUCUCCAGACCAGGAAGUUGGAACCCUCUAUGAGUGUUUUGGAAGUGAUGGCAAGCUGGUGCUGCAUUAUUGCAAAACCCAGGCAUGGGGGUGAAAGACAAGCAAUACAGUUGCAUAGGUGUCAUCUUCAAAAAUGGAAGAGGAACUAACUUUCUUAAACACACCUGUAAAUGCACAGAAAAAAAGGGGGUUUGGAUUUAUGCUUGUGACUGUAUACUUAUAAAAAUGGCAGCAGUUGAAUAGCAUGAAAGAAGAGCUACCAAGGUUAUCCAAUCUUGUAGCGUUUUUCCAAUGUACAUUUUGGGUACAGAAAAAAAAUCUGCAUCUGCUGUCUGUAGAACAGAGCCAGCUCUCCUGCUUCUGAGUUCCCAAUUGCUGUAUACGAAGGGAAGCUUUUUCAAAGUUGUCUUCAGGACUGGGCAGCACUGUCGCUGUAUAUGGUGUGUGGAAGAUAAGGUUUCCUUUUAAUUAAAAAAGGAUGUGAAUUGCA
Molecule: long non-coding RNA, 713 nt
Organism: Cygnus olor (mute swan)
Lineage: Eukaryota; Metazoa; Chordata; Aves; Anseriformes; Anatidae
Exons: 4
Source: RefSeq, a predicted model, not a curated record